UGGGCUAUAGCCAAGCGGUAAGGCACUGGACUUUGACUCCAUUAUGCGCUGGUUCGAAUCCAGCUAGCCCAG
RNAcentral lists this transfer RNA (72 nucleotides) under Apilactobacillus bombintestini. Its description in RNAcentral is "Lactobacillus sp. BHWM-4 tRNA-Gln". It matches the Rfam family "tRNA". Rfam says of the family: Transfer RNA (tRNA) molecules are approximately 80 nucleotides in length. Their secondary structure includes four short double-helical elements and three loops (D, anti-codon, and T loops). The record is from RNAcentral. Lineage: Bacteria; Bacillati; Bacillota; Bacilli; Lactobacillales; Lactobacillaceae.